Manis javanica (Malayan pangolin) is the source of this 1260-nucleotide non-coding RNA. The record is from RefSeq and is a predicted model, not a curated record. NCBI's taxonomy places the organism in Eukaryota, Metazoa, Chordata, Mammalia, Pholidota, Manidae.
GCCGCAUGAACAGGGAGGGAAAUGGAAGCUGCCAGAAGCAAUAGACUGACAACAGCAGAAAGGGAUGGCUGGGCAUCUGAAGACACAAGUUCCCACCAUCAUCCUUGACACUGAAGGCCCUGGAUAAUACUAUGGUGACUGAUACACUUACCAUGACGGUGAGGCCAGCAGGCCUGGGGACGUCUCUAGCAGCCACAGGGCCCUGCAUGGGACUGCAAUGGUCAGUGAAGGACCAACAGUGAUGGAGACCAAAAAGGACAGAGAAGGAGGCUUCUCCAAUCGUGCUCGCACUGCUGCUGGUUCAACCCACAGGAGGAGGGCGGCUGGCAAGCAGACUGAUCCUGGAGUUCUCAUCAGUGCUGGCAAAUCAAGGAGGGAUGGGGUUACUUGGGUUAAUUUAGAAAGACAAAGGCCUUACCCGCACAGUACAUUAUAACAUUGCAUCUCUAUCCACAUUUCCCUUGCCAUACCUCCCAUGUAUCCUUUGUUUCUAGUUGCACUCCUUAAACCUUUGCUGAGAUUCUGAUUAUUUCAUAAUUUAAGCCACUUAAGUAGGUGCUUCAUGGUCUCCCUGACUCUCUCCUUUUCCCCCAUCUAUUACAUGAUUGCCAGAUGAAUCUCCUUUAAACAUAAUUUUCAGGAUGUCACUCUGAUACCCAAACAUUUUUAGCUGUUCCUUCCUCACAGCAGUUCCAGGCCUUGGACAUUAGGGUCUCAAUGUACCCCUUUGGCUUCAUCUCCUAUUCCCCUGCCCUGGGAUUCCAGCCAAACUGAAAAAGUCACCUGGUGCUUUCUCAUCUCAAUGCCUCUGCCCAUCUCAUUUCUUCUGCUUGGGUUUUUUUCCACACCUUCCUUUUUAAAAAAUCAAAAUCUUAGACAAAGUUUAACACAGGAUGGAUUAACACAUUCACAUGAAACUGUUCCCUUCUUCCAAAGCCUUUCCCAAUUCCUAUGACUACUCCUAUAGCCCCUUUCUCAUCUUUUAUAUUGCUUAGCAUCCUGAUUUAAUUCCUAUUUUAUGUAAAUUUUAUUUUAAAAUGCCGAUGCCCUUGACUGAGUACCCAGGGGCAGGAACCAGGGAACCAGACAAAAUGAUCCAUGUUGCCUAACACAGGUUUUGCACACAAACAGAAAACAGAUUGAUUAAUUCUUCCUUUUACCAGAAGAUCAACCAAAACCAAAUUCUUGGUGGACUUAAAAUACGACUUUCAAAAUCAAAAGUUAUUUUUAAAUUCCGUUCAACUUCUCAAAAAAAAAAAG